GCAAUCAGAACUCUUACUGUAACUCUUUCACUCCAGAAGAUGGCAGCAGUGCAACCUCCGGAUGCAGUGCUCCAAACAGAAGAAGAGAUUGAACAGUUCCCAAGCCGUUUCCAUAACAACCAGGCGGAUUCAAUCAUGGCGCCCGGGAGCCAAGCAGUCCUCUCUUCAACACCUUUGCAGGUUCUUCUCUACCUGAACAGCUGGUACUUUUCUGCCUUCUACUUGGCAGAGAUCCUCAUGUUCAUCUACAAAGGAAUUUUACUGCCGUACCCAGCAGACAAUCUGGUCCUGGAUGUGGUGCUGCUGCUGCUCUUCCUCGCUCUGGAGACUCUUCGCAUUUUCUAUGGUUGGAAGGGGAACCUCUGCGAGCGCUCUCUGUCUUCCUGUGUGUCCCUCUUCAUCCUAUUUCCCUGCACAGCGCUGGCCGUUUACUACCUGCUGCUGCAGACGUUCGUGCUGCGGCUCGAGUUCAUUCUCAGCGCCGUGCUGCUCUGCUUCUAUGGCCUCGAGUUCCUGCUCUGCGUUAUCUCCAUCUCCGCUUUCUCCAGGUCCAGAGUUUACUGAUGUCGCCUGGAACACAACAGGAUGUGUCAGCAGCUUUCUUCAGACAGAACACACUGCAACUUCCUCCAGGAGGAAAUUUUAUAUGUUAAUUCAAAGUCCAACCACCUAGUGUCGGUAGCCAUGUGUUUAUCUACUGAGGGCCACCGUGGGGAGGCGGUACCCAUCUCCUGCAAUUAUUGCGCAAGAGGUGGUCUACGCAAUACACAAGAAGAACGUGAAAACACCACAGAGCCAGAAAAAGAGUCCAGUUUAUUUUUUCUUUUUUUGUCAGUGGUAGUGCAAAUUUAAGUAAUUGGCUUUAUCAGUCAUCGUGACUCACUGAAAUCUAAUCUUACAUUUCAUAACUAAUUAAACAUUAAGAUGAUGAACAUUGCUUUAUGGCCCAUUUAUAUCAUCUGUAAUCAACUAAGUUUUUGUAACGUAACUCUUGCUAGUCAGCACAACUGCUGUGGAUGUUUGACAGAAACAUCUUCCUCACUGUCAUAUGACUUUGGAAAUGCAAACGACUCAGUUCCGCUGAAACCCCAGAAAAUUGAAGUUUCGAUCAUCAUAAAAAGCCGUUUACAAACUUCCCAUUCAUCAGUGCUUUUUUGUAGUUACCAUUCCUACUCCGUGAACAAGUGUAUAGACAAAAGGCAGCUGUUGAUAUUUUGAUGAAGUGUGUAAGUUUUAGUUGUUAGCGAUGUUUUUUUUUUUUU
Poecilia reticulata (guppy) is the source of this 1262-nucleotide RNA transcript. It is a transcript of the gene named transmembrane protein 216, with no coding region annotated. The record is from RefSeq and is a predicted model, not a curated record. NCBI's taxonomy places the organism in Eukaryota, Metazoa, Chordata, Actinopteri, Cyprinodontiformes, Poeciliidae.